Molecule: small nucleolar RNA, 65 nt
Filed under: Euglena gracilis
Lineage: Eukaryota; Euglenozoa; Euglenophyceae; Euglenales; Euglenaceae
Description: Eg-p28 AGAUGN box pseudouridylation-guide
Source: RNAcentral
ACCGCUCAGACGACCACCUGCUGCAACAUACAAUGAGCUGCAGGUGGCAUAUGGUGCGGAGAUCC